Molecule: ribosomal RNA, 800 nt
Filed under: Weissella viridescens
Lineage: Bacteria; Bacillati; Bacillota; Bacilli; Lactobacillales; Lactobacillaceae
Description: bacterial SSU rRNA
Rfam family: Bacterial small subunit ribosomal RNA
Source: RNAcentral
CAGUCGACGCUUUGUGGUCCAACUGAUUUGAAGAGCUUGCUCAGAUAUGACGAUGGACAUUGCAAAGAGUGGCGAACGGGUGAGUAACACGUGGGAAACCUACCUCUUAGCAGGGGAUAACACUUGGAAACAAGUGCUAAUACCGUAUAACACUAAUAACCGCAUGGUUAUUAGUUAAAAGAUGGUCUUGCUAUCACUAAGAGAUGGUCCCGCGGUGUAUUAGCUGGUUGGUAAGGUAAUGGCUUACCAAGGCAAUGAUACAUAGCCGAGUUGAGAGACUGAUCGGCCACAAUGGGACUGAGACACGGCCCAUACUCCUACGGGAGGCAGCAGUAGGGAAUCUUCCACAAUGGACGAAAGUCUGAUGGAGCAACGCCGCGUGUGUGAUGAAGGGUUUCGGCUCGUAAAACACUGUUGUAAGAGAAGAAUGACAUUGAGAGUAACUGUUCAGUGUGUGACGGUAUCUUACCAGAAAGGAACGGCUAAAUACGUGCCAGCAGCCGCGGUAAUACGUAUGUUCCAAGCGUUAUCCGGAUUUAUUGGGCGUAAAGCGAGCGCAGACGGUUAUUUAAGUCCGAAGUGAAAGCCCACAGCUUAACUGUGGAAGUGCUUUGGAAACUGGAUAACUUGAGUGCAGUAGAGGAGAGUGGAACUCCAUGUGUAGCGGUGAAAUGCGUAGAUAUAUGGAAGAACACCAGUGGCGAAGGCGGCUCUCUGGACUGUAACUGACGUUGAGGCUCGAAAGUGUGGGUAGCAAACAGGAUUAGAUACCCUGGUAGUCCACACCGUAAACGAUGAGU